AUUGAACGCUGGCGGAAUGCUUUACACAUGCAAGUCGAACGGCAGCACGGACUUCGGUCUGGUGGCGAGUGGCGAACGGGUGAGUAAUGUAUCGGAACGUGCCCAGUCGUGGGGGAUAACGUAGUGAAAAUUACGCUAAUACCGCAUACGAUCUAUGGAUGAAAGCGGGGGAUCGCAAGACCUCGCGCGAUUGGAGCGGCCGAUAUCAGAUUAGGUAGUUGGUGGGGUAAAGGCCCACCAAGCCAACGAUCUGUAGCUGGUCUGAGAGGACGAACAGCCACACUGGAACUGAGACAAGGUCCAGACUCCUACGGGAGUCAGCAGUGGUGAAUUUUGGACAAUGGGCGAAAGCCUGAUCCAGCCAUUCCGCGUGCAGGAUGAAGGCCCUCGGGUUGUAAACUGCUUUUGUACAGAACGAAAAGGUUUCUACUAAUACUAGGAGCUCAUGACGGUACUGUAAGAAUAAGCACCGGCUAACUACGUGCCAGCCGCCGCCGUAA
Molecule: ribosomal RNA, 500 nt
Filed under: uncultured bacterium
Lineage: Bacteria
Description: partial 16S ribosomal RNA
Rfam family: Bacterial small subunit ribosomal RNA
Source: RNAcentral